Non-coding RNA from Camellia sinensis, 808 nucleotides. The record is from RefSeq and is a predicted model, not a curated record. NCBI's taxonomy places the organism in Eukaryota, Viridiplantae, Streptophyta, Magnoliopsida, Ericales, Theaceae.
CUACCACACACUCACCUACUACACUCACCUACCACCACCAUCCACUACACCUACAUCUAUAUAAGGAACCAUUUGUAAUAGACAGAAUAUCAACAAUACAUCAAUCAAUAAUACAUCAGUUUGUUUACAAAUACUUGUGUUUCUCUCCUCUUUUGUGGCAUUAUUAAAAUAUGCUUGAUGAUGUACUUAUAUUUCUAAAUGCACUAACUAGUCAAUGACCUGUAUGAAGCUUGGAUAUAACACAACAAAACUAACUAAAAAGCUUUUGUGAGGGUGAAUAAUCAGAUUGUUACUAAUUCCUUGCAUUUGAUAUUACCAUUCCUUUUUGUCUUCUGACAUUGUAUAGUUUCAAUAGAUAUUAAUUUGUUUCUUUGAUAUCCAUAUUCUUUCCUUUAGGGUGGGUACCUGUUGAUAUUGGGCCAAAGUCUUUGGACGAAAUUUCUUCCUUGCUUUCAGAAUGCAAGAAAAUUUUAUGGAUUGGUCCAGUGAAAUUUGGUUUGUCAAGUCAGGACACCAGUGGAGCAUCUAAAUUGGCCACAAUGCUUGAUAAACUAAAUCGAAGAAAUUGUGAUAUAACUGUUGUUGGGAAUAUGGCUUGUGAAGCUCUUACAAGUGUGUCUACUUCUUUCUCAAGUCAUAAUAUGGUUGACAAUGCUUCAGUCUUGUGGGAGAUUCUCAAAGGAAGAAAGCUUCCAGGGCUCAUGGCCUUAGAUAGAUAAUCGAUUGUGCAGGCAUAUCCGUUUGUGAUUGAUUGGAAUGCUACUUAUACUGAUCCAGCUCAUCCUUUGGUCGUGGACAUUGGAAGUGG